RNAcentral lists this ribosomal RNA (253 nucleotides) under uncultured bacterium. Its description in RNAcentral is "partial 16S ribosomal RNA". It matches the Rfam family "Bacterial small subunit ribosomal RNA", at positions 524 to 776 of the family's 1533-position model. The record is from RNAcentral.
UACGCAGGGGGCUAGCGUUGCUCGGAAUCACUGGGCGUAAAGCGCACGUAGGCGGAUUGUUAAGUCGGGGGUGAAAUCCUGGAGCUCAACUCCAGAACUGCCUUCGAUACUGGCGAUCUUGAGUCCGGGAGAGGUGAGUGGAACUCCGAGUGUAGAGGUGAAAUUCGUAGAUAUUCGCAAGAACACCAGUGGCGAAGGCGGCUCACUGGCCCGAUACUGACGCUGAGGUGCGAAAGCGUGGGGAGCAAACAGG